UACGUAGGGGCCGAGCGUUGUCCGGAGUUAUUGGGCGUAAAGCGCGCGCAGGCGGCCUCGCGCGCCCGACGUGAAAGCCCCCGGCUUAACCGGGGAGGGUCGUUGGGGACGGCGGGGCUUGAGGGCGGGAGAGGGCGGUGGAAUUCCCGGUGUAGUGGUGAAAUGCGUAGAUAUCGGGAGGAAUACCAGUGGCGAAGGCGGCUGCCUGGCCUGUUCUUGACGCUGAGGCGCGAAAGCUGGGGGAGCAAACGGG
RNAcentral lists this ribosomal RNA (253 nucleotides) under uncultured bacterium. RNAcentral describes it as "partial 16S ribosomal RNA". It matches the Rfam family "Bacterial small subunit ribosomal RNA", at positions 524 to 776 of the family's 1533-position model. The record is from RNAcentral.